This is a non-coding RNA of Drosophila melanogaster (fruit fly), 299 nucleotides long. Lineage: Eukaryota; Metazoa; Arthropoda; Insecta; Diptera; Drosophilidae. The record is from Ensembl.
AUGCAACCUGAACGAGCUGGAACAGUUCUCGAUUUCAUAUCACAACAUGAAGAUCACGAUUAUUCUGGCGCUAACUCUAGUUGCGGUUUGCUUAAUGCAGGUUCGAUCUAUUCCGAAGGAUUCCGAGAAUAGACUUCUGCAAAAGGAGCUUCAAAGGAGUCUUAUCCAGGAUGCGAAGGAACAUGUCCGCCCAAGGCGACAGUCCUGCAUUGAGCGGUGCAAUUCCCUCUGUUCGAAGAAGGGCUUUAAAGGUGUUUGUGUUAAAGGUUUGUGCCGUUGCACUUGAUUUUAAUAAGGAG